AAAAGUGGUAUUAAAUGAUUCAUUUCCCGAAUUGCUUACAUUGUCCAUAAAACAAAAAAUUAGCAAAAUUAAAAGAUAUGAUUAUAAAGUCUCGGUUGAACGAUAAAUCGAUUAUUUUUUGCUUAAUGACAGAGCAGAUAUCAGAAUAUGUUCCAUUACUCCCACAAUUUUUACGCUAUCAAUUAAGUGAAGUACGUAGUUCAAUUAUUUGUGUGAUACAGAACAAUAACUCUAAAUCCGAAUAACAGUUAUCAACCUCAAUAGAAGUCAUUGGAACUUUAUGAUGGAACCUAGCAACUAAAUUCUAGAUUUACAACAUGCUCUUAUGUAUAUGUCUUUAUGGUAUGUAUAUGUCUUUAACGUGUUUAAUGCAGUGUUAUUCGCAUAUUUAAUUUUUUGUUAAUAUAAUAUUUAUUUCAUACUUAAUCAAAAAAUGGUUAAAAAAUACACAAUUAGCGUACCAUGACAAGUUCAAAUUUUUCAUGGUACAAGGGCCAAAAAAUAGUAUGUGUACCGUGAAAAUGAUACGUUUGGCAGCAUUGUAUACGAUUAAAGUAUUUUUUUAAUUUUUUGUGAAAUUUUUGAGUAUUCUUUGUGACUCUCAUUUUAUUUCAUAUGGUUUUGAAAGCGAUUUAGAUUAUGACAAUUCUUUUUUCUUCUUUCUUUCAAUUUCUUUUUAAAGUCAAUUUCUUAUUCAAAAAUUUUAGACAGGAUUUAAUUUAAUAUUUAUAGAGAGUAAAUAAAAAAUUCCAGUUUUUUUCAUUUAAACUCCAUAUAAAUUUGGAAUUUUUUUUGAUUUACUCUCUAACGUUGGUGGCCUGAUUGAUAUAUAUGGCAUUAUGAGUAAGUUUUGAAAAUCAAGAAUAAAAAAAAAUAGAUGGUAAAAAUUACACAAUGGUCAUGAUAAUUUUUUAAUACCAACGUAUAAAACGUGUAUACUUCCAAAAUUAUUUUUUUUAUUUGCCUAGAUUCAGGCGUAUAAUGUAAUGUACGCGUUGAGCAUAAUUCGGUAAGUGUCGUUUAGAUAUAAUUUGUUUUCUUCUGUAAAGAAUUUAGUCAGAAUAAUUAAAUAAAUCGCACUUAUAAUUUUUUACAAUAAUUUUUAUUUGUUCCGUUUUUUCUUUUGUUUUUUUUUUCUUAUUUUUUUUUAUAAUUAUUUGAAGAGUAUUUUUGUUUCUUUUUCUAUCUUUUGUGUAUUAUGCCAAAUGAUAACAGUUGUUAGAGUUUAAAAAAAUCUAUAACUUAAAUAUUUAAUUAAAUAAAGUUUUACUUUUUACUAAAUUAUAUAGCACGUUUUUCUAUAAAUAUAAAUUUUUAUGUAUGUAGGUGUUAUGCACAUUGUAUAGAUAUUUUGCUUAAAAAAAAGUAUAUUUUAUAAAUUAACAAUUAAUAACAAAGUUAUAAAAAUCAAUUUAAAAUUUUAUUUUGUCUUUUUGUUUAUUUUCAGUCGUAUAAGAACUUUUUUAAUUUUCCAUUAAAAUAUCAAAAUGCAAAAUCCAUAUAUGUAUCUAUAUACAUACAUAUUACAUACACACAAUAUGUAUAUAAGUUCUAUAGUUAUGUACGUUAUAGUAUUUUUUUUUCUGUUUUACAGAAAAUUUAUUUAUUAUUUGAUAUUGUAUUUAUUGAACUAUAUAAUAUAUACACAUACAUACAUUUAUCGCCUAAUAUUGUUGUGUAGGUGCUUACAAUUCUAAUAAAGAUCUGGUAAGUCUUUAUAUUAGAAAUUAAUUAAGUUAGUUAUAUCGAUUCAAAUUUAUUAUCAACUGUAAUUAUCCAAAGACACAAAAUAGAAUCUUGUAAAUAUGCACUAUAUGGAUGUUGUCAAACUAGUGUUGUGUUUUCAAAAUUUAGGUACUUAGUGUCGUUUUAUUGUAUAAAAAUAUAAUUUUUCCACUUUUUACCAUAUCGUUGCCAGUUUUUACCAAUAGGCAAUAGCCAAAUAGAAAACAAAAGGUUAACGAUGAAUUGAAAAUUAACUUUUUAAUUGUGUCAAAUAUUUUUCGACAGUAUAGAAAUGUGACAUAAACAUAUUUUUGAUCGUAGAAGUCUCAAAUAUGUAAUGAAAUAAAUUUGAAGAAUAUUUUUUUUUGAUACUAAUAAAUUUUAUAUUUAUGAACAGUUGUAUAACAGUUUCGUAUAACAGAUUUUUAGCAGUAUAACAGUUUCUUCUGUAGUUUGCAUAACAUAUAUACAUACAACAAUUUAAAUAUCCUUUUAUCCUUGUGUGUAUACUUCCUUAUAUACUUCAGAUAACUAAAUAUGGAAAUUUCCUGUAUGUACAUAUGUUUUUUUGCAUAUUAUCGUAUAUGAAAGCAUAUUAAAUAUGUACAUGUAUAUUUAUUAAUAAAUAUGGAGAGUUAUAUAACAUUUUGAUAUUGUGAUAUAAUAGAAACAUAAUUUUGCAUUUUCAUAUUAUAUAGCAUAAUAACAAUUAUAUUGUAUUUUGCUCUUGAAAUUUUAUUAUUAUUAUAUUUUUAUUAUUAUUAUAUUAUAGUAUUUAUCGAUUUUAAUUUGUGUGAACAUUUUUUAAACAACCAUUUAAAUAAAUGUGUGUAUGGAUAUUUCUUUUUUCAAAAUUUUUAAAAGUAUUUCUUUUUAAUUGAGCCUAUAUAAUAGCUACAUUAAGCAUUUAUGUAUGUAUGUAUAUAUGUAAUUAAAAUUUAAAUAAUUUUAUAAUAAAAAACAUAAAAUAUUUAUUAUUAUAAUUAUUCAGUAAUCAUAUAACAAAAACGAAAAUGUUAAUUAAUAUUUGAAAUAUUUUCAAUUAAAUUUAAAAAAACAAAAUUUCAUUGGAUUUUGCAUAUUUUAGGUAUAUAAGGUUUGUAGUUUUUUUUUAUUUUUCUAAUUCUAUUUUAAUAAUUUUACUAUUUAUAACGACAUUAAUAAAUUUUUACCUAUGUUUUUUUUUUAUUAUAUAAAAUCAAGAAUUUAUAACUGCAUUUAAAUAUAAAAUAUAUAUGUAAUUGAUUUUCGAGGAUUUUUGUUUUUGUAUUUGUAAUUUAUUUUAGAGAUAAGAAAAAAACAAAAACGAAACUAAUGAAAAUCGAAAAAUUAAAUAUAGAAAAAAAAAUUUGCGACCAGACUUCUUACAAAUUUUAUGCUUUUUUUUAGUUUUUUUUUGUGUUUUUUUUUUUUUGAAUAUUUUAUAUAAAAAAUUUUUUAUUUCUUAUUAAAUUUUUUUAAGUGCAAUUUGUUUUUUUUUUUUUUUUGGUUUUUUGUUAUUAUAUUUAAAUUUUUUAUUAUGCUUUUUUUUGUUUUUUUUUUUUUGGAAUUUAUCAAUAAAAUAUUUUUGUCUUUUUUUUAUAAAUUUUUUUUGUUAUUAUUUCGUUUUUUUUAUUCGUAAUUUUCUAAAUAUUUUUUGUAUGCAAAUCGUUAACUUAAAAAAAUAUAUAAAAAGACUGCGUAAAUAUUUUUACUUUAACGUGCAGUUUUGAAUUUGUGAAAUGCUAAAAAACGUAAAAUAUAGUUAUUCUAUAUUUGUAUAUAUAGAAAAAAAGUAAAAUUAAAUAAAAUUAAAAAUAUUUAUUUAUUGUUUUUAAAUACAAGUUUUAUUUUUUUUAUCUAAAAUUUGAAUCAUUGCUAUUUUAUGUCUAUAUAUAUAUAUAAUAUUUUUUUUUAUUUUAAAUGUUGUAGAAUUGAGAUCUAAAGUACAUUAUUUUUUAUAUAAAAUGUUUUUUAUAUGUUCUUAUAGUUAAUAGUUUUUUUUUCUUCUUCUUUUAUUUAAACUGUCAAUAAUUUUUUUUUAUUUUUUUCUUUUCAGAUUUCUAUGUUUUUAUAUUCGAGCAUUAUUGAUAUGAAAAUGUAUACAGUUUAUAUUGGGAUUAAAAUGUACAGUUUACUAAUUAUAUGGGUUUCUUAAAAUGCAGAAAUAUUGUUAGGCUUCUAAAAAGGAAAGAGUGUGUUUUACCGAAAAGCGUUUGUGACAUUUUGAUCAUAUUAUGGUUUGUUAAUUUUGAGUGUGGUAACACCGUUUGUUAUGUAUAUUGGCUAUUAAUAUAUAAUUUAUUAAUAUAUUAUUUUUUUUAGAUAAAAGAUCGAAAGCAAAAUAGAUUAUGAAAGGAGUUCAACAAUACAAAUAUACUGUUGUCAAUUUUUAUUUGUUUUUAGAACAACAUCGGAAUGAUAAAAUUAACAGUUUAGUAUUUUGCACAUAAUGUCAUACACGCCUCGAAACAAAUGAUGUAGGAAAAAAUAGGAUUUUAUUGAUUUUAGGCUAUUUUACCGGCGUCGGUAAAAUUUGCGGGAAUAAUUUCGCUUCAUUCUGGGUAGCUUUAUAUCUUUAUCUAUUGCAUUCUAUAUAUUAUUCUAUAUAGUUUAUUUAACGAAUCAAAAACUGGGCAAUAUUAUGAUUAUAUAAAUAAAUGAUUAAAAAAAAAAAAACCGAAAAAAAGCAUUUUGAAUAUUUGCGCUAAAAGUUGCAAAUCAGUGCAAUUUAAGCAAAUUAAAAAAUUUAUUAAUUUUAAAUUUAUACUGAAUUUUCAGGGAUAUAAAUAGUUUAAACUUUAUAAUAAGUAGGUUUAUUAAUUACAUAUUAAAAAUAAUUUUUAAUUAAUUAUAUAUUUAAAUAUUAAUUUAAUUAAAAAUAGUUAAAGUUUUGAAUCAAUUUGAUUUUAUAUGUAAAAUUUAUUUAAUAUUGGAAUUGUUUACACUUAAAAUAAUUUUAUAUUUAAUUAUGUAAUUUUAAUAGUUAACCAGUUUAAAAUAAAAUUAUAAUUAAUAUAUUAGAAAAAUUUAAAUAAAAAUUAUUUAAUUAUUAUACGAAAAUUUAUAUUUAAAAUUAAUUGUAUUUAUUAUAUAUCCAAUAUAUAUAUGAGUAUAUAAAAUUCUAGUAUAGGAACUUUAACAUUUUUCGACAUAAUUGUAAUGUAUAGUAAUUAUAUAAAUGCUUUUUUCUUUUAAAUAUUGUUCAUUAUAAUCGUGAUGGACGGAGAAAUGAUAGAUAAAAGUGUGAAAAACAAACAAGUCAAUAGUUUUAAUUGGGAGUUUGUUUCUAAGGUUGGAGGAAAUGCCACGUAUGUGACAUAAUAUUCAAUUAAAAAAUUUAACCCCUUUUUUUUCUUGCUUAUGCGAGAUAUUAUUUUCAUUUCAUUAUAUAAUGAAAUUUUACUUAAAUUUAUAUGUAAAAUUCAUAUUGGUCUAAUUGUAUUAUAAACACAAAUUUUUUUCUAUAAAUAUUCUACAUUUAUUCAGAUAAAAUGUAAUUUAAAAUUCGUAAAAAAGAAAUGAUAUUGAAAUUCAUCUGAAUACAUUUGUAUAACAAAAUUAUAUAUUUAUUAAUAUAUUUAUAUUAGUUCAAUUUGAUACAAUAUUGCAUUUGCUUUUGUGACGUGACGUGUUUUUUAUUUAACAUUUGACAUUCUUAUUGCACUAUUCAAUUUCUGUCUUGAAAAUUUUGAAAACUUCAAUUCGUAUUGAAUUUUUUUAUAAAACAUUCAAGAAUAUUGUUCGAUUUGUUGACAAAAUAAAAGUUUUUUUAAUUUUUUAUAUUUAAAUUUUGUUAUAUUUAAAGUUUCGAAUAUUUUGAUAAAUGAUAAUAUAAUUUGCUUUACAAAAUAUUAUUUUUAUGUUUUAUUGCAUUCUAAAUGUCUGAAAAAAUUAAUAUUUCUAAUAAUUUUAAAUAAUUUUUCUUUACGAAUAUUUUUAUAUUGUAUAUAGAAGCUUAUUUUGUGAAAACUAUGAAAAUUGUUCAAAAUUUUGAUUUUAAUAAAUAAAAUAAGGAAUUUGAGAAAAAAUGUGGAAGAAGAUUGCAUAUUGAAAAAAUCAAGAAAAAGUUUUUUGAAAAAAUUUAUUGAAAGUAUUACCAAUAAUGCUCGAUUUUCUUAAAAACAUAAAUUCUUUUUUGUAUAUAAUUUUUAUGUUUAAUUAUUUUUAAUUGGUUAUUUUGUUAUUUAUUUUAUUUUUUUUUUUCUAAACAGCGAACAGUUAAACGUAUAUUUUUUUUUCUUUUUUGUAUUUUUUUAUUACUAGCAUAACUAUAAUAUUUGUUUUUUUUUUGUUUUUGUAAGUUGCAUCCUGCAAAUUGCUCUUGAGACCAUCAAUUUUAUUCUUUUCUUUUAUUUUAUUUUUAAAAUAUUGUUUUUGAAUAACUAUUUUGCAUUUUAUUACAAUGUAAGAAUUUAUGUAUGAAUAUGACUAUUUUUUUGUUUUGUUGUAAUGUGUCGGUGUUUUAUUUAUUUUUUUUUAUUUUUAUAAGAGUAUGUGUUUUAUAAGUGUGUUUUAUUAAUGUUUAAUUAAAAUACUCAAUAAUAUAACAAUAUGUGUAUCAAUUUUUUCUUUAAUAUAAAAAAGUUCGUUAAUCACCAAAAUAGUAAAAAAAUUUUUUUUACGUUUUUUUUUGCUUAAAUUUUUUUUUUUUGUUGGAAAUGAAUUAAUAUAAUUUUUUUAUAUUUAUAAUUCUAUAUGCAAUAUUUUAGUGCAUAUAUACAUGUGUAUGGAUAUGUGUAUACAUAUAUACAAAUCCAUAUAUAUAUUCCGCAAAAACACCAUAUUUAUGUACAUAUGCGCCAUCUAUUAAUUAAAUUUCACUUUCAAUUUUCUAUUCUUUAGACAAAAUUACAGGGAUGUUGCUUUUUCAAAUUGGUAGUAAUUACUUUUGAAAGAAAUGACACUUCGGGAAUGUCUGUUAAGGUGUUUUUCUAUUUCUAUUGGAAAAAAUGUGUAAAACACGAAAUUUUAUUUUAUAAAAAUAAAAUUUGAAGAAUAACGCUAUCAAAAACUCAAAUAAUUUUUUGAAAAAAACGUAUUUUAUAGUAUAUUUGCAAUUGUAAUAGUAUUUGUUUAUAGUCAUAUUUAUACCAAUAUAUAUGUAUUAUAUAUAUGUAUACACAUGUAUACUGCCUGCAUAUAUUAUAUAUAAGUACGAAUUGUUGUAGUUUUUUUUUAAUAGUUAUAUAAUAAUGUAUAGCCCUAAAGAAAAUUAAAAUAAUUUUUCUUUUUUUAUUUAUAAUUUUUUGUAUCGUAAUAUUGUUAUACAUUUUUAGUAAGUUUUACUCUUUAUAUCUUAACAUUUUUGUAUUAUGGUAUCUUUUUAUUACUUAUUUAUAUAUUUUAUCAAAUUAAUUUUUUUUUUUGUUAUUUUAUACAUAUAUGUUAUAUUUAUUUAUAACUUUCACGUUUUGCAUUUAUAUAUUUUUUUAUUUAUAAUUUUUAAAGACUAUUUUAGUAUAAUUUGUCAAUUUACAAACUUAUCUUGUUUAUUUUGUAAUUAUAUAUGUUUUUAAUAUUCAUAUUAUGAAUAUACUCGUAUGUGUUUUUCUUUCUUUAUUUUUUUUUGGUAUACGCAUAAAGCAUAUUUUGUGAUUACUAUGUUUAAAUGUAAUUAUAUUCUCUAUUUAUAUAUAUAUAUAUAUAUAUAUAUUUAUAUAGAUAUAUAUAUAUUUAUUCAUUUAUAUUAAUUUAUUAUAUGUAUUAUUAUAUUUUUAAUAAUAAAUAUGUAUUAAUUAAUUUGUUUUAGAAUUUCAGAAUUUCAUGUUGUUUUGUUUGUUUGUUUUUAUACUUUUUUCUUUUUUUGAAUUUUUUUUUUGAAUUUUUGUUUUUAAUAUAAAUUUUAUUCUAAAUUUUUAAUUUAAUAUUUUAUUACAUUAUAUAUAAUAUAUUUUUCUCUCUUAAAAAAAACUAAAUUAUAAAUAAAAACGAAUUUUACACAAGUAUAACAAAAUAAAGUAUAUUCAUAGUAUAUAUGUAUAAUUUUUUUUACUUACUUUUAUACUUAUUUAAUGUUUUUUUUGUUUAGAAUUUUUGUGUUUUGCAAAUUUUCUUAAGUAAAAAGAAAAUUUUGUUGCUUUCAAUUGAUAAGCUCAUUUUUGUCACUUACAUAAUUUUAUUUUAUUUUUUUGUUUCUAUGUUUUGUUAAAUUAUUUUUUUUUAUUUUAAUUUUAUAUAUUUUUUUUAUAUAUAAAUGGUUAUUUUAGUAUAUCACUUUCAUUUUUAAUGUUUCUGCUUUUAAUAUACGGGAUAAAAUUUUUUCAUAUGCACAAGAGUUGCGGUUUUAACAAUCUCUACAUUUUUUAUAUAUAUGUAUAAUGUAGUAAACAUAUUUUAUAUGUUUAUAAUAGUGUUUCAUUUUUGAUUUUUUGUUUUUUUUUUUGUAAUAGAAUACAUAUUAUAAACUAUUGAGCAUAUUUUUAUUCACAUAUUAUAAAUUCGAUAUAAAUUUUAUAUGCGUAUAUUGUUAUAUUAUAAUUAUAACAUUUAUAUAAUAUUUUGUAAUAUUAUGAUAGAAUAUAUUGAAUAUAUUAUAUCAUUUUUAUGUUAUACAUAUAGAAGUUUAUACUUGCGGAAUUUGUUUUUGAUCUAAUCUUAUACAUACAUAUAUUAUGCAUUUUAAUAUAGGUUAAAAUAUGAAUUAUAUUAAAUAAUAAUGUACUGUGACCCAUUCCCCAGUGACCAAUUAUAAGUGGUAUUAAUUUUUAUGUAAGAUCGAAAAAUAUCGAUUUUCGAAUUUAGAAUAUAUGUUUUAAAUAGAACUUCGUUAGCUAUAUAUUUUGACAAAAGACAUUCUUGUAUGAAAUUAUUUUUUUUAUAUGGAAGUCAGUUUGCUUAUUAUAUUCAAUGUUUAAAAUUAUAUCGACCACACAAAUUAAUUGCCAAUAAAUUAAUCCGCAUUUUAAAUUUAUUAUAUUAUUAGGGACAAUAUUUGGUUUUUGAAUAUUCCGUUUUUCACUUAUGCAAUUUAUUUUUCCAUUUUAUGUUUUAGUACUUGUUAUUUUAUAUAACAUAUAUUUAUACAUUGUUUAUUAUUUAUAUUUAAAAUAAUAAAAUUAUAUAUACGCUUUGAAAGUUUUUAAUUAAAUUUAUUCAUUUUAAUAAUUAAAAGUAAAUAAUAAGGAAAUACAAUUUUGCUAUAUUACGUUAAUUUAUAUUUAAACUUUUUUAAUUUAUAAAAUUUUUAAAUUAUUUAAUUGAAUUAAAAGAGAUUGAAUUGCUAGAAAAUUUAUAUGUAGUUUAUUAUCAAAUGGCAACACCUUCUAUGUAACUUACUUGGAAUGAAGAUUAUUCUUUAUUAUUUCAAAAUUACAUUUCGUUAUUUUUUGUAGUAUCUUUAUGAAUACACAGUUUGACAAUUAAUUUUUUGAAUAAAAUUUUGUUAAAACUAAAUGUGAUAAAUUUUUAAAUACUAUUGCGCUAUUACAUCUACAAAUUAAUAUGUAUGUAUAUGGAUAUGUAAAUAAUUAUCUCCUAAUAUAUACAUCAUGUUUAUAGAAUAUGUACAUAUGCAUAUACAUAUGUACCCAUGUGUAUAUAUAUGGAUGAGAAAAUAUAAUUUUUUUAAUCGAAAAUGUUUGUUUUUAAAAAUAUUUUCAAUAUUUUUGAAAGUUGAAUUUAAAUAUUAUGUAACUGUACAGGAAUAAUAAUAAAAUAAUUUUAAUUUUCAAUUAUAAAACAUGUCCUAUAUUAAAUGUCAUAUCUUGAUUUGUAAGCAACAACAAAAUUAUAGUACAAAGUUUGGGACCCUUGCGGUAAUUUUUUGAAAUUAGAUAAUAAUUUGCAAUUACACAAAUUAUUCUUUAGGUAUAUUGUUGUGGCAAAUAUAUAACACCUAACUAUAUUAUAUAUAUAUAAAUAUAAUAUAAAAAUAAUAUGUUAAUAAUAUGUGAAAUAUUUAUGUGUAUACUCGUAUAGCGCCUAGUUAAUUAUUAUAUAUUAUAUAAUGUAUUUAUAAGUCUUGAUUUCAAAACUACAGUAAUACGAUAUUAAUACUUAUUUCAGAUUAAUAUCUGUAUCAAAAAAAUUUUCCUGAAACUUUCAAAUCAAUUACUUCGUUUACAUGGCGGAAAUUUUAAUCUGCUAGUAUACUGUAAUGUACAUUACAAAAACAUCAACUUGAAAUCGACUUCGGUUUCACAAACAUUAGCUGACAAUCAUUACGAGUAUAUAUAUUUGUUUAUAAUUUUCAAUCUUUCAAUUUGUACAGUCGCUUUUCAAGUCAUGCUAGUAAUUUUGUCGGAUCGAUUUGACUUGAAAAUUUCAAGUUAAGAAGCGUUUAUAUGAGUUAAAAAUCUGCUUGAAGUCGGCUUCAAAUUGCAUACAAACGCAGUAAAUGAAGAUGAACAGUAUAAGUAUGUGUGAAUAUAUGUAUAUUUGUUUCAAUAAAAAGUAUUUCCUUUAUUUUUGCUUUUAUUAUAAAUUGGAAGACAAAAGAAAAUCAUGCGUUGUUGUGCAAGUUUAAUAUUUAUUAAAAAAAGGUUAUUUAAUAUUAAUUUUAUAUUGAUAUAGUAACAUGAUAUAUAUAUACAUAGUUAGUUUUUUAUAGAUUCGUUUAAUAUAUGUAUGUAUAUAUUUAAAAUUGCAUAUUAUAAUUAAGAUAAUAUACAAAUUUACCCGUUCAACGGUUCCAGAUUAAGCCCUAUUUCUUUUUUGCAUAUUAAAAAAGUUUUGUUAAAUAAUUAAAAUUUUAUAUUCUUUUUUUUUGAUGAAGAGUAUAGGUUAAGUGUUUUUUGAGAAAGAAUUAUGUCUUAGAGUUUUCUUAUAUGUACAUACAUAUAAACAAUAUAUUCUAAUAUAUGUAUACUGUGAAUUGGAGAAGAAAUUUUGCUGAAGUUUUAAGUUGAAUCUAAGACAUUUUAAUUAGAAAGCUUAAAAGCUUUUGUAGUGUUACUUGACUUAAAUCAUAUGUCAACAUCAUAUGUCAUGUAAGGAGCUAUUUUUAUUGCAUUUUAAUUACAAAACAUUUAAUUUUUCUAGUAUAUUUUAAUUUCAUUUGGGAAUAUUAAAUGUACAGUAAAAAUUUGAGUCAAAUUCGAAAGAAAUUGUGAAUCAUUCGAAUGGAAAGUUAAUAAGUCAUUCAGCAAAUUAUUAGAAAUUAAUAAAUUGAAUUUAUUUUGUUUUUAACUUGCAAUUUGAAAAGAAUAAAAUGGUAGACAGAAUUUUGUAAAAUUUUAUGUAAGUGCAUAAUAUCAUGUGAAUGGCAGAAAACACACUUUGAAAUUUUAGUUUUAAUUUGAAAAUAGAGAGAAAUUUUUAGUAUACAAAAUAUGCCAAUUCAUAUAAUUUAGAAGGGUUAUAUUAAAAGUACGUGUAGGGCUCAUAUAAGCAUUUAAAAUACUGUAUAUGGAUUAUACAUUUAAUAUUUCUGUCAAAAUGGAACUCAAGACAUUUUCUGUCCAAAUGGAAAGCAGUUUACUGAAGUAUGUAUAUAUUUAUAUAUUAUACACUUAUAUACGCUUUACUAUAUUCAAAUA
Condylostylus longicornis is the source of this 11183-nucleotide long non-coding RNA. RefSeq lists it as uncharacterized. The transcript has 2 exons. The record is from RefSeq and is a predicted model, not a curated record. NCBI's taxonomy places the organism in Eukaryota, Metazoa, Arthropoda, Insecta, Diptera, Dolichopodidae.